RNAcentral lists this ribosomal RNA (425 nucleotides) under uncultured bacterium. RNAcentral's name for it is "partial 16S ribosomal RNA". It matches the Rfam family "Bacterial small subunit ribosomal RNA", at positions 354 to 796 of the family's 1533-position model. The record is from RNAcentral.
GUGGGGAAUCUUGCGCAAUGGGCGAAAGCCUGACGCAGCCAUGCCGCGUGAAUGAUGAAGGUCUUAGGAUUGUAAAAUUCUUUCACCGGGGACGAUAAUGACGGUACCCGGAGAAGAAGCCCCGGCUAACUUCGUGCCAGCAGCCGCGGUAAUACGAAGGGGGCUAGCGUUGCUCGGAAUUACUGGGCGUAAAGGGCGCGUAGGCGGACAUUUUAGUUAGAGGUGAAAGCCCAGGGCUCAACCUUGGAAUUGCCUUUGAUACUGGCUGUCUUGAGUACGGGGGAGGUGGGUGGAACUCCGAGUGUAGAGGUGAAAUUCGUAGAUAUUCGGAAGAACACCAGUGGCGAAGGCGACUCACUGGCCCGUUACUGACGCUGAGGCGCGAAAGCGUGGGGAGCAAACAGGAUUAGAAACCCCUGUAGUCC